This 433-nucleotide ribosomal RNA is filed under the name uncultured bacterium. RNAcentral's name for it is "partial 16S ribosomal RNA". It matches the Rfam family "Bacterial small subunit ribosomal RNA", at positions 29 to 507 of the family's 1533-position model. The record is from RNAcentral.
AACGAACGCUGGCGGCAUGCCUAACACAUGCAAGUCGAACGAGACCUUCGGGUCUAGUGGCGCACGGGUGCGUAACGCGUGGGAACCUGCCCUUAGGUUCGGAAUAACUCCCCGAAAGGGGUGCUAAUACCGGAUAAUGUCUUCGGACCAAAGAUUUAUCGCCUUUGGAUGGGCCCGCGUUGGAUUAGCUAGUUGGUAGGGUAAAAGCCUACCAAGGCGACGAUCCAUAGCUGGUCUGAGAGGAGGAUCAGCCACACUGGGACUGAGACACGGCCCAGACUCCGACGGGAGGCAGCAGUGGGGAAUAUUAGACAAGGGGCGAAAGCCUGAUCCAGCAAUGCCGCGUGAGUGAUGAAGGCCUUAGGGUUGUAAAGCUCUUUUACCCGGGAUGAUAAUGACAGUACCGGGAGAAUAAGCUCCGGCUAACUCCGUG